Molecule: ribosomal RNA, 488 nt
Filed under: Punctoterebra polygyrata
Lineage: Eukaryota; Metazoa; Mollusca; Gastropoda; Neogastropoda; Terebridae
Description: partial 16S ribosomal RNA
Rfam family: Bacterial large subunit ribosomal RNA
Source: RNAcentral
GUCGGANCUGCCCGGUGAGAUUUUUCAACGGCCGCGGUACCCUGACCGUGCAAAGGUAGCAUAAUCAUUUGCCUUAUAAUUGAAGGCUAGUAUGAAUGGUUUGACAAGAGUAUAGCUGUCUCUUUACAAUUUAAUAGAAUUUUAUUUUUAGGUGAAAAAGCCUAGGUUGGAUUAAAAGACAAGAAGACCCUAUCGAGCUUUAAAGGAGUUAAUAGAUGUGUAAUUUUUAUUUUAUAAAUAAUAUGGCUAUUAAAUAUUUUGGUUGGGGCGACUGAGGAACAUGAAAAGCUUCCUUUAAGGUUUUGUAAGACGUACAGGUAUUGAUCCAUAGUUUAGUGAUUAAAGAAAUUAGUUACCGUAGGGAUAACAGCAUUAUCUUUUUUGAGAGUUCUAAUCGAAAAAAGGGUUUGUGACCUCGAUGUUGGACCAGAAUGUCCUAAAGAUGCAGAAGUCUUUAAGGGUUGGUCUGUUCGACCAUUAAAAUUCUA